Molecule: ribosomal RNA, 365 nt
Filed under: uncultured Clostridium sp.
Lineage: Bacteria; Bacillati; Bacillota; Clostridia; Eubacteriales; Clostridiaceae
Description: bacterial SSU rRNA
Rfam family: Bacterial small subunit ribosomal RNA
Source: RNAcentral
GUGUCAGCCGCCGCGGUAAUACGUAGGUGGCAAGCGUUGUCCGGAUUUACUGGGCGUAAAGGGAGCGUAGGUGGAUAUUUAAGUGGGAUGUGAAAUACUCGGGCUUAACCUGGGUGCUGCAUUCCAAACUGGAUAUCUAGAGUGCAGGAGAGGAAAGUAGAAUUCCUAGUGUAGCGGUGAAAUGCGUAGAGAUUAGGAAGAAUACCAGUGGCGAAGGCGACUUUCUGGACUGUAAACUGACACUGAGGCUCGAAAAGCGUGGGGAGCAAAACAGGAUUAGAUACCCUGGUAGUCCACGCCGUAAAACGAUGAAAUAACUAGGUGUAAGGGGUUGUCAAUGACCUCUGUGCCGCCGCUAAACGCAU